RNAcentral lists this ribosomal RNA (797 nucleotides) under uncultured Sphaerochaeta sp. RNAcentral describes it as "bacterial SSU rRNA". It matches the Rfam family "Bacterial small subunit ribosomal RNA", at positions 8 to 795 of the family's 1533-position model. The record is from RNAcentral. Lineage: Bacteria; Pseudomonadati; Spirochaetota; Spirochaetia; Spirochaetales; Sphaerochaetaceae.
AGAGUUUGAUCAUGGCUCAGAACGAACGCUGGCGGCGCGUUUUAAGCAUGCAAGUCGAGCGGCAAGGGUCUUCGGGCCCCUAGAGCGGCGGACGGGUGAGUAACACGUGGACAAUCUGCCCCCCGGCCGGGGAUAGCCCAGGGAAACCUGGAUUAAUACCGGAUGAGACGGGACCCGCGGAGGCGGGAUCCGGGAAAGGCGCUGCGGCGCCGCCGGGGGAUGAGUCUGCGUCCCAUUAGCUUGACGGCGGGGUAACGGCCCACCGUGGCGACGAUGGGUAGCCGGCCUGAGAGGGUGGACGGCCACAUUGGAACUGAGACACGGUCCAGACUCCUACGGGAGGCAGCAGCUAAGAAUCUUCCGCAAUGGGCGAAAGCCUGACGGAGCGACGCCGCGUGAACGAAGAAGGCCGUGAGGUUGUAAAGUUCUUUUCGGGAGGGGGAACAACCGUGGCAGGGAAUGGCCGCGAGAUGACGUGAAUCCCGGAAUAAGCCCCGGCUAACUACGUGCCAGCAGCCGCGGUAACACGUAGGGGGCGAGCGUUGUUCGGAAUCAUUGGGCGUAAAGGGCGUGCAGGCGGUCCUGCAAGUCCGGCGUGAAAGACCCCGGCCCAACCGGGGGGGCGCGCUGGAAACUGCAGGGCUUGAGUACAGGAGGGGAUGCCGGAAUUCCAGGUGUAGGGGUGAAAUCUGUAGAUAUCUGGAGGAACACCAAUGGCGAAGGCAGGCAUCUGGCCAUGUACUGACGCUGAGACGCGAAGGUGCGGGGAGCAAACAGGAUUAGAUACCCUGGUAGUC